CAACCCUCGAGCCCCCGUGGCCCGGCGUUGGGGAUCUACGCCCGUCGUAGGCCCCGAAAACCAGUGGCGGACCCUCAGCGGCCUUCCUUUGCGCAGUAGCAUCCGCCUCGCACCGGGAGCCCUGGGGCGCCAGCCUUGAAACCCCCGACAAGCCCGCUCCGGCGGCACAAGG
This 172-nucleotide unclassified non-coding RNA is filed under the name uncultured Hypocreales. RNAcentral's name for it is "sequence contains ITS2". Lineage: Eukaryota; Fungi; Ascomycota; Sordariomycetes; Hypocreales. The record is from RNAcentral.